CUCUCCCUUCUUUGCUUCGAGGAAUUUUAAUUUAUCUCACCCAGCCAUGGCCGACGGGGAAAGGUGUUCAUCAUGAAGGCGAGGAGAGGGGAGGGGAGGACGAUUACUCGCCUGAGGAAGCUCAUCCGGUCAUCCCCAUCACCGGCCCCACUCCAGCCAUCGCUUCAUCCGGUCAUCCCCAUCACCGGCCCCACUCCAGCCAUCGCUUCUCCUCUCCUUGGCGAAUGCUCCCCUGCGUCGAUGCUUCUCCGGCGGUAAUUGAAGUAGGCACGCGCUGCGGCCUGCCUAUGUUAUGCACGCCGUUGCCGUGGCGAUCUCAUCUAGUCAUCUAGCCAGCCCAGCCCGUGUUUGCAUUUGUGUAAGUAUUCUCCUCCUUGAUUCUUCUUCUCCACGCCAACUAACCGAACCAUCCAUAACGUGUUCGAUGAAAUGCCUAAGUGCUGCUCCCUUUCCCUAUUGUCUCACGGCAUCAUAUCAUAUGCUCUGGAAGCUCUGAAUAUCUGACGAUGGGUCUGGUGGUAGUUUAAUCGUAACCACCUCGAUCCAAAGCCACUUGUUAACAUGUUUUACAACUUGGUUCAGGGGAUUACCCCUUGAGGUCUCUUAUUAGUUGUACAUGUGAGUUUGGUAUGAAUGGUUUGCCUGCAUUCACCUGCUAAUUCGUACGUUCAGUAUUUGUUUGAUAAGAGACCCCCCCCCCCCCCAACCUCGAUUUGAAAUCCACAUGCUGCAAUUUGUUUGACAAGAGAUUUAACAACUACAAUGAUGUUUCAUCUGUCAAGAUAUAGAACCUGAAGCAUGGAACCAACCAUUAUCAUCACACUUCCAUCUGUACCUAGUGGUAGCAGAUCUUCACCAUGCUCACUCCUGCUGUAAUGCCUCUUGCCUACCAUUUUUCGAGAUGGGGAAUAUGGUCAUUUGUAACUGCAUUAACUUGUAAGUCUUCAUUCUAUUUAACCAGGGUCCUGGCGCUAAACUUUUUCACUUAGUUCUCUUUAUUUUGUUAUCCUGUUAUCAAAGCAGUUUGUAUUACAUACAUACGUUUAUUAUAACAAAUGAACAUGUACCUAAGGUUCACCUUGAUGUUUCUGACCUUGGGCAAGGUAGGCUGAAAGUCCUUAUUACAAUUGUUGUCGAGGUGUUCGGCAAAUACCUUGUCAUAUAUCCAAUUAGAAAUGAUCUCAUGCUAGGGUGGGGGGGGGGGGGCAAGCGUUAAUUAUUUAUAUGGUAUUCCUAUCCAUCAUUUGUCUGUAAGUUUUACUUUCUGCAGAUAUUAAUUGAUUGUAACUUAGUUUCAUAUUGCUUAACAAUGCAUCGUGGGAAAAUGAGGAUGGAAUUUAGAGAAGGCAUAUGCAGAUAGCUCUAAGGCAAUACAUAUCAUUGUUUUUUUCUACCGACCGCCUAGGUUUCAGGCUUCUCAACUUUCCACAGCACAGAAGUCUUGGUUGUCAGUUUAAUGUCCAUCCGAUUACCAUUUGGUAUCAGCUUCCUAGGUAGGUUACUCGCUAAUGUGAUACCCAGUUUGAUGAAUCACCUCAUCCUAGCUGGAGUGGUCUAUCAUUGGUUCAUCCUAUGAAUUUCCGUGGAGAUAAUGCCAUCCCUCAUGUUUAUACUAUUCGUGGGCAUAUGAGGCAUGAGUGUUGGUUAAUCAACACAUCCCAUUCUUCAAACGAAACAUAAAUGUGGCAGAGGGUGGCAGAUCACCCCAUUCUUCAAUCAAACCAAACACUCCAUAAUCUAUUCCACGUACUGCAUACCCCCCACCCCCAAAAAAAGAAGUGCAAGUUUGUUCGCAAACCCUUUCCUAGAUCUUAGUUGGCAAUUCUUGCAGUCACUUUCUUAGUUUGUGCCUUGCUUGGAGCAGCCGGAGCAUGCUGAAGGUUUAUGGCUGGUGAAACAAGGAUGAGCCUCCGACCAAAGGGGUCCCCAACAGCUCUCUGCAAUUACUGGCUGUACAGGUGCUGAUGAUGUUUGAGAACUGCUAGAUUUGAGGGACAUCAAUAAUUGGAGCAUAACAGAUCUGAACCGUGUUUUCCAUUCUUUCAAUUUCUGAUGCAUGGUAUUUUCAAAUAACAGAUUGGUGCAUCAUAUAGUGAAGUCAAAGAGCUCUUAAAUGCACCCAAAAUGAUCCAUGAAUAUCUUCAUAUAAAUUCAAAGAGUCCAAACAUUCAGCCUUGUUAUCUGUAGAGUGCAGACUCUUGUUCAAAGAAUAUUUUCUUCCAAAUUUGUUGACUUGGUUUGUUUUGGUUUACACUUUAGUGCUCUUUGUGUAGGGAUAGUGACAAGGUAACAUUGGCAAAUGCUGUCACUAGCAAGUAAGUGGGCAACGAAUGGUGAUGCUGAUCCUGUCCCUGACAAACUCAGUACUCAGUGUUUCCUUUUCCUUGUUUGGCCAGUCUGCACUAAAAAAAGGGGCAUACCCAGUGCCGUAGGCUUCCCGCACUGUGCGGGGUCUGGGAAAGGGUUGUCUUUUAAGCCCCAAGCCUUACCCACACAAAUGUGCAGAGGCUGGGGCUCAAACCCGGUACCUUCCGGUUACAGACGGUAGGCUCUACCGCUGCACCAGGCCCGCCCUUCUUUUGGCCAGUCUCCACUACACAACCAAAUCAAUUCUCGCUACUGUGAUGAAUUUUAGCGAUAACUUGCACUGCAGCAAGCAAGAUGGCAAUAUGGCAUUAUGCAGUGGGGAUAUCUUCUAGGAGUUGUGAUCUGUGAAUGGAAAGAAAGCAGGAUCCUUGCCAAACUAUGGUGAAGCGCCUUUGCCUAGGUGGCUGAGAUCACAGCACAUUUGAGCUGUAUACCAUUGAGUGGAUCAACAUAUCAUCCAUCCAGGUUAAGGAUUCUUUCUUUUUUUACUUGGAUCAAACAAUUCCCUCUCACUGCUUUCCUGCCCAAAGCUUCUUCUGGCAGAUUAGGAUCUUGUCCUUGUCAGUCUUGUUUUCAGGGUUACGCCUCUCACAGCUCCAUCUCAUUCCUUUGGCAAUGGCUGCUACAGAAUCCAGGAAGUAGGUGCUCUCCCUGAUUAUCGCAUAACCCGUGGGGCAAAGGAUGCGGUCCAUCUCAAGAAGUACAAACUUCAUCUCACACCUGCAAUUAGUGAUGUUAUCAAGUAUUUUUUUGGGGCACCUCUAUAGUUAAAAAAGUUGUAUUUUUUCCUUUGUUUAAUCUGAAUUCAUGUCUGACCAAUAAAAGGACAACUACCAUAGAGUUGGUUUGA
Molecule: long non-coding RNA, 3217 nt
Organism: Panicum virgatum (switchgrass)
Lineage: Eukaryota; Viridiplantae; Streptophyta; Magnoliopsida; Poales; Poaceae
Exons: 2
Source: RefSeq, a predicted model, not a curated record